UGGGGAAUAUUGCACAAUGGGCGAAAGCCUGAUGCAGCAACGCCGCGUGAGUGAUGAAGGCCUUCGGGUUGUAAAGCUCUGUCUUUGGGGACGAUAAUGACGGUACCCAAGGAGGAAGCCACGGCUAACUACGUGCCAGCAGCCGCGGUAAUACGUAGGUGGCAAGCGUUGUCCGGAUUUACUGGGCGUAAAGGAUGCGUAGGUGGAUAUUUAAGUCAGAUGUGAAAUACCCGAGCUUAACUUGGGUGCUGCAUUUGAAACUGGGUGUCUAGAGUGCAGGAGAGGUAAGUGGAAUUCCUAGUGUAGCGGUGAAAUGCGUAGAGAUUAGGAAGAACACCAGUGGCGAAGGCGACUUACUGGACUGUAACUGACGCUGAGGCAUGAAAGCGUGGGGAGCAAACA
This 402-nucleotide ribosomal RNA is filed under the name uncultured Clostridium sp. RNAcentral describes it as "bacterial SSU rRNA". It matches the Rfam family "Bacterial small subunit ribosomal RNA", at positions 355 to 774 of the family's 1533-position model. The record is from RNAcentral. Lineage: Bacteria; Bacillati; Bacillota; Clostridia; Eubacteriales; Clostridiaceae.